RNAcentral lists this ribosomal RNA (253 nucleotides) under uncultured bacterium. Its description in RNAcentral is "partial 16S ribosomal RNA". It matches the Rfam family "Bacterial small subunit ribosomal RNA", at positions 524 to 776 of the family's 1533-position model. The record is from RNAcentral.
UACAGAGGUCCCAAGCGUUGUUCGGAUUUACUGGGCGUAAAGGGCGCGUAGGCGGCCUGCUAAGUCGAACGUGAAAUCCCUGGGCUCAACCCAGGAACUGCGUCCGAUACUGGUUGGCUUGAAUCCGGGAGAGGGAUGUGGAAUUCCAGGUGUAGCGGUGAAAUGCGUAGAUAUCUGGAGGAACACCGGUGGCGAAGGCGACAUCCUGGACCGGUAUUGACGCUGAGGCGCGAAAGCCAGGGGAGCAAACGGG